RNA transcript from Stegastes partitus (bicolor damselfish), 1910 nucleotides. It is a transcript of the gene named heterogeneous nuclear ribonucleoprotein D, with no coding region annotated. The record is from RefSeq and is a predicted model, not a curated record. The transcript has 9 exons. NCBI's taxonomy places the organism in Eukaryota, Metazoa, Chordata, Actinopteri, Pomacentridae.
CCAACGAAGAAGAGGAGGCGACGGCGAUGAAAACAAAACGACGAGAUCUGCCUCAAAAUUGUCGUAACUGAAGCUAUUUUUGUUGUUGUUGCCUUAUUUAAACCCAUUCUGCCUAAAUUCACACUGACGCUGCAUUACAGCCACGUAAACUAACUAGCUAGCUCACUGUAACCGGCGCCAAGCGUUUUAUUUAGAAUACAUAAAUCAUUAGCUAGCCACGAGCUAACGUUACUUAGCGUAGCUUCUGUUUGGAUUUCUGACGUACGUUUAGUUUUGGAGACGUUUAGCGGCGCGACUUCAGUUCAGAAGUAGUUACUGAAAAAAACAAAACAUGUCGGAUGAUUAUGAAUUCAGCGAUGACACGACCAUGAUGAGAAUGGAGGAGGAUGGGGAGGCGAACAGCGACGACCCGAUGUCAGCGGCCGGGGACUGUGGCCUGAUGGGGGGCGAGGCCGAGGGCUCCAGGAUCGACGCCAGUAAAAACGAGGAGGAUGAAGGGAAGAUGUUUGUUGGAGGGCUCAGCUGGGACACGACUAAGAAGGACCUGAAAGAUUACUUUUCAAAGUUUGGGGAGGUUGUGGAUUGCACGUUAAAACUGGACCCCAUGACUGGACGUUCAAGGGGCUUCGGCUUCGUGCUCUUCAAAGAACCUGAAAGUGUUGACAAGGUUGCCUCACAGAAGGAACAUAAACUCAACGGGAAGGUCAUCGAUCCCAAAAAAGCCAAGGCCAUGAAGAGUAAGGAGCCUGUAAAGAAGAUCUUUGUCGGCGGUCUUUCUCCAGACACACCUGAGGAGAAAGUCCGAGAGUAUUUUGGUGCCUUUGGAGAGGUAGAGUCCAUUGAGCUUCCCAUGGAGAACAAAACAAACAAACGGAGAGGCUUUUGCUUCAUCACAUUUAAAGAAGAGGAGCCAGUUAAGAAGAUCAUGGAGAAAAAGUACCACAACAUCGGACUGAGCAAGUGUGAAAUAAAGGUGGCGAUGUCCAAGGAGCAGUACCAGCAGCAGCAGUACUGGGGAGGCAGAGGUGGAUACUCAUCCAGGUCUCGAGGACGAGGUGGUGGCCCCAACCAAAAUUGGAACCAGGGUUAUGGCAACUACUGGAAUCAAGGCUAUGGAAAUUAUGGCAAUUAUGGUUACAAUAAUCAAGGAUAUGGAGGCUACGGAGGCUAUGAUUACUCUGGUUACAACAACUAUUAUGGAUAUGGUGACUACAACAAUCAGUCGGGUGGAUACGGCAAGUCGCCACGGCGUGGUGGUCACACCAACAGUUACAAGCCGUAUUAACGGGGGAAAACCCUCAUCUUCAAGUAGCGGAGCUUCCUUGCAGGCCAUGAGCUGACUCCCAGAUACUCUCAGGGCCCGCUCAAUGCGGACCGGGUACGAGAAGCAUACGCUCUCGAAUGCUGCCAUUUGGUGUCAGAGUGAUGAAAGUCUGCUGUGCGCUGGUGGAGCGUUGGCCAGAGAGAUGGUGGUAUCCAGCAAAGAUCACUUAGCUGAUUGUAAGAAAAUAAAAGGAGAGCACUAUGACCUACAGUUCAUUUCCUCUAUAUUUACCAGAGUAUUUCAGUGUUUUUGCAUUUGUUUAGACUGCUGCGGCAACGUUUUAUUAGCAGUUCCUCAUCCGUUCUUUUUUUGUAUUUAAUGUUCUCAAACUGCUACUUGUGAAUUGCUUCAUUUAUUCCAUAACUGAAAUGUAAUAUUGUUUGGAACAGAUCACACAUAUAUAUACAGUACUGUGGUAGCAAAGAUACAAAAUGAGUUGUCACCAUUUAUCCUCUUUAUCAUAGUCAUCAGUCAUAAAAUACAUUUUGUUAUUACAUUGUUUGACGGUCAUAAACAUACAGCAUAUAUAUAUAUACAGUGUAUUCGACAUUAAAAAAAAUGAAACAAAUAAAAUAAUAAACACUCA